AAAUGGUUCCAAAUGUCACGGGGGAAGAGGGAUGCUGUUUAUUGCACAUCCUCAAGACGCGUCCAGACGUACAGCAAUUACAUCUUAGAAUAAUUAAGGAGGAGGCAUGAGCCUCUGGAGAGAAGUUAAAGUCUGAGACAGAACAGGAAGUGUGGAAAAGACCAUGGGUACUCGGGAGAGGUGGUGCUGUCUAUCAGAGGGAAGGGAGCUCCCGCAGUAAGUGAUGCGGGUUCGCUUGGUGCUUAGGAUGGGGUCGACUCUUGGUGAUGCGGCAGGCAGGGCUGCAGCUGCCUCGUUCCUGCUAUCGUUAGUGGCUAGAGUUGGGUUACCUCCUGAAUUCCAUGCCUGGAAGGCCGGGCUGGAGCACUAUACCACCCUCCAGAGAGCCUGGCUCAGAGUUACAGGGAAGGGGACACACACACAUCUGCAGUUACUUUUGUCAACACAGGGUCCGUCUUCACGGCACAAGAGAGAAUGAAGCUGAUACUAGACUUCCCACCUCGAACCUCAUCCUCACAGCAAACUGCUAAGGAUUAACUGCAGAGGUCAACAUGAGGAAAUCAAGUUUCAGAGAGGCCGGACUUCAAGCCCACACAUUAUACAAGAACAUCUGGGCUCAGAAGCCAGAGCGACUUCUCAGAGACUGGCCACUGCCAGCUACCACCUUCUCAGGCUGAUUCCCACUUACAAGAUUUGCUAAGUCACCACCCACGCUCCAGGACACAAGCCUCGGGAUCCCUGAAUGGCGCGAGCACAGACUUUCCACUUCCUCAAGUCAUGUGAUUCACUUAAUGCUAAGGCUGUAAUCAGCAGCCCGCCUGCACGGGACAGCUCGUGGUGACCAAACAUGAGGUACAUUUUAGUAGCAACCCUGGGGCUCAGACUCUAACUCUGGCUGCUGGUCCUGGGGCUCCCGUUCUUUGCUUGUUCUUCUAGGAGUCAGACCGGCCUCACCUGCCUCAGUAGCACACUCUAGGGCUCCAUUAGUACUUGCCUCUCACCCAGAGGGUGCUCUGCUGCCUUAGCCAGAGCAGAGGUUACGUUACACGUUGAGAUGGCUGCCUUUUUAUCUCUUUGGCUAUCUCACGGCAGCAGAAAGCCGAGCAGGCAGGCACAGAGCAAUGUGGGGGUCCGGCAAGCUUGGCAGGCGUGUUACCCACACCCGUGCUGUGGGAGUCAGGCAAGCAGAUACUCACCACCUGACCAUCAGUCCGUGCUCCAUGAAGUUUUUCAGGUUAGGAAGAGUUUGCCUCAAGUCUGGAGUCCCCAGGCCAUGCUGGUAUCUCAGCUGCAACGAAAGAACGGAAUUGAAAGAUGUUUUGGCAGAUGCUAGGCAAUGCUCAGGACGGUGAACUCCUGAACGAGCAAACAUUUAAGUGUACAAAGGCCACACCAACUACAGCCGAGGCACAGCAUUUAAUGGCUCUUCUUUACCAUCACCUUACACCUUGAACUUGAAAACAAUAUGGCCAACCUUAGGCCUUCACCUACUCUUUUCCACUCCCAGAUCUUGGUAAGUGUUUCUAACACCAUAGACAUAACUCAUAGGAAAUCUUCUAUUUAAAUCAGAAAAAGAUUAAUUUAUUCUUAUUGUAUGUGUAUGACUAUAUUGCCUGCACAUAUAUAGGUGUGCCAUGCGUGGCCUGGGCCCACAGAAGCCAGAAGAAGGGUAUAGGAACUUUUGGAACUGCAGUUAGAGGGGGUUGUGAGCCACCAUGUGGGUGCUGGAAACUGAACCUGGGUCCUUGGCAAGAGCAGUAAGUACUCUUAACCAGAGAACCACCUUCCCACCCCUCUUACUUUUAAUUUUGUGUAAAGUGGUAUUUCUGUGUAUGUUUGCAUAAGUGUAGUUGGGAGAGGAUUUGGGUCCCUAGGAGCCACCCUACAUGGGUGCUGAGACUCACACCCUGGUCUUUGCAAGAGCACUGCUACUCCUGAGCACUGAACCAUUUUCUCUCCAGUCCCUCAAAAAAAAAAUCAAAUGACAGGUAUUAGUGUCGCUGUUGACGGGAGCCGCACUCUAGGUUUCUCUACAACGCUCACUGUGUUUUGUGUGUGAGCGUGAGCGAGGGGGGGGGCUCUUGAGGUUUUAUUGCUAGCAGCACAAAAAUAAAAGAAAGAAAAAGUGAAUUUAAGAGUUAGGUAAAACUUUACCAAAAGAUUAAUUUAAUCCAUGAUCAUCCAGCACUCAGUUGAUUUUCUGAGUAAUACUUAAAACAGUUUACUCUCUAGAACUGAGACUCUAAAGGAGACUCCUGUAACACAAGUGAGCGUCUAGGAUGUUCUGAGUGAAUACAUCCAUCAAAUAAGAAGGCAGAAACAUGCUGUUAGAACUAGAAGGUGCCCUGGCAAGGACUGAAGCCAGUGGGAAAUUCCCCAGGACUCAUCGGUGCACACAGAACCAGCGAGAGCCUGCUUUCCACAAGCUGUUCCUUCUAUUGUAUCCACUCCACUGACUGAAGAGAAAAUUGGUAACAGCACUCGGGAGGUCAGGGGAAAAAAUUCUCUUCCCUUCAAACCUAGCUUGGUGACCUAAAUCACCUCCUGAGAUUUGCUAGCCUUGAAUUAUAAGAUCUACUCCAUAUUAAAUGACAUCAUUCUUUGUAUUAAUAUAAAAGCAUUUUUUUCCAUACAUUGAUAAAAGCAAAAUGGCUGAUAUCCCAAAAUGACAUUCCUGGAUUCAUUGUUUCAAUAAGAAGUGAAAUUGUUUACACAUGGCAUGAAAAUUUCACCUGUGAUUCAUACUGAAAAAUAUUAAAU
Molecule: long non-coding RNA, 2760 nt
Filed under: Mus musculus (house mouse)
Lineage: Eukaryota; Metazoa; Chordata; Mammalia; Rodentia; Muridae
Description: predicted gene 45187
Source: RNAcentral